Molecule: ribosomal RNA, 1244 nt
Filed under: metagenome
Description: bacterial LSU rRNA
Rfam family: Bacterial large subunit ribosomal RNA
Source: RNAcentral
UGAAUACGAGAUGCUACGGCGUCGAAGCAGUCUAUGUCAUACUUCCAAGAAAAGCUCGCACUGUCAUAAACAAAUAAUGCCUGUACCAUAACCGACACAGGUGGGUAGGUAGAGUAUACUAAGGGGCGCGAGAUAACUCUCUCUAAGGAACUCGGCAAAAUGACUCCGUAACUUCGGGAGAAGGAGUGCCUUAUUUAUAAGGUUGCAAUAACAAGAUCCAAGCAACUGUUUAUCAAAAACACAGGUCUCCGCUAAGUCGUAAGACGAUGUAUGGGGGCUGACGCCUGCCCAGUGCCAGAAGGUUAAAGAAGUUGGUUAGCAUUCGCGAAGCUGAUAACUGAAGCCCUGGUGAACGGCGGCCGUAACAAUAACGGUCCUAAGGUAGCGAAAUUCCUUGUCGGGUAAGUUCCGACCCGCACGAAAGGCGUAAUGAUUUGGAUACUGUCUCGGAGAGGGGCUCGGUGAAAUAGACUUGUCUGUGAAGAUGCGGACUACCUGCACCAGGACAGAAAGACCCUAUGAAGCUUUACUGUAACUUGAGAUUGAAAUUGGACUUUACUUGCGCAGUAUAGGUGGGAGGCGUUGAUAAUAUUCUUGCGGGAUUAUUUGAGCCAUCAGUGAGAUACCACUCUUGUAAUGUUAGAUUUCUAACUUUGUAUCAUUAUCUGGUCAAAGGACAGUUUCAGGCGGGCAGUUUGACUGGGGCGGUCGCCUCCUAAACGGUAACGGAGGCGCACAAAGGUUUCCUCUGAACGGGUAGAAAUCGUAUCUAGAGUGUAAAGGCAUAAGGAAGCUUGACUGUGAGACCUACAAGUCGAGCAGGGACGAAAGUCGGUCUUAGUGAUCUGACGGUGCUGAGUGGAAAGGCCGUCACUCAACGGAUAAAAGUUACUCUAGGAUAACAGGCUGAUCUCCCCCAAGAGUUCACAUCGACGGGGAGGUUUGGCACCUCGAUGUCGGCUCAUCGCAUCCUGGGGCGGUAGUACGUCCCAAGGGUUGGGCUGUUCGCCCAUGAAAGCGGUACGCGAGCUGGGUUCAGAACGUCGUGAGACAGUUCGGUCCAUAUCCGGUGUAGGCGUUAGAAUAUUGAGAGGAGCCUUCUUUAGUACGAGAGGACCGAGAAGGACAUACCUCUGGUGUACCAGUUAUCGUGCCAACGGUAAACGCUGGGUAGCUAUGUAUGGAGUGGAUAACCGCUGAAAGCAUCUAAGUGGGAAGCCCACCUCAAGAUAAGUAUUCUCAUG